This 411-nucleotide ribosomal RNA is filed under the name uncultured bacterium. Its description in RNAcentral is "bacterial SSU rRNA". It matches the Rfam family "Bacterial small subunit ribosomal RNA", at positions 29 to 484 of the family's 1533-position model. The record is from RNAcentral.
AGCGAACGCUGGCGGCAGGCUUAACACAUGCAAGUCGAGCGGGCGUAGCAAUACGUCAGCGGCAGACGGGUGAGUAACACGUGGGAACGUACCUUUUGGUUCGGAACAACACAGGGAAACUUGUGCUAAUACCGAAUAAGCCCUUACGGGGAAAGAUUUAUCGCCGAAAGAUCGGCCCGCGUCUGAUUAGCUUGUUGGUGAGGUAACGGCUCACCAAGGCGACGAUCAGUAGCUGGUCGAGAGGAUGAUCAGCCACACUGGGACUGAGACACGGCCCAGACUCCUACGGGAGGCAGCAGUGGGGAACAUUGGACAAUGGGGGCAACCCUGAUCCAGCCAUGCCGCGUGAGUGAUGAAGGCCCUAGGGUUGUAAAGCUCUUUUGUGCGGGAAGAUAAUGACGGUACCGCAAG